Molecule: long non-coding RNA, 2038 nt
Filed under: Ananas comosus (pineapple)
Lineage: Eukaryota; Viridiplantae; Streptophyta; Magnoliopsida; Poales; Bromeliaceae
Description: long non-coding RNA (ACOM_LNC036339)
Source: RNAcentral
AAUACUUCAAUGUUCAAAUCCUUGGGAUGUAGGUUGAAGAAUCUGAGCCUUUUAUUAAGGUAUGCAUAUAUAUUGCACAGCAUAAAGUGAAUAUAUACAUAUAUAAUAUGGAUGUGGUGAUCCUCACAACCGACCCCCCCCCCGCCCCCCCCUACCACCCCUCUUCUCGUCUCACUCUCUCUCUUCUCUCUUGGCUGUUAAUAUCUAAAGGCAUGUUUGGGUCAUAAGAGACUUUUACUUUGGCUAAGAAUGGAAAUUUGAAUGAUUAUUUGGUUGUGGAAACACUAUUCUAUUCUAUUCUAGUUUUUAGUUGUGGAAUGACCAAUUGCUUAAUACUUCUUUUUGACUAGUCAAGGUGGCAGAAGUGAAAUAUCAAUCUAAGAUAACUUAGGUACCAAGCAUGCCCCAAGUAUAAGUAAUUAGUGUGAUCAACUAAGUCAUAACCUUUUAGUAGUUUGUGUACCAGAACUCUUGGCUUAUAGGGAACAAAAUAGUCACCAAAACAAACAGUUUUAAAAAAAUUACUGUUUUGUUACAUAAGAUAAAGUUCACCAAAUUGAUCGAAUAAGUUUAUUCAACAAAUAAAUGGAAGUUUUAUCUAUCAAUAUCUAUGUUCUUGGGCCAUCAAUGUCAUAAUAUUCAUCUAAUAGUUGGCAUUUAGAUAAGGUAUAUGGGUUGGCUGUUUCUUUCACUCAAAUGAAUUUAGGCCGACUGUUUGAAUAUUGGAAUAAGUUAUUCAAUUAAAUUUUAUUCAAUAUAAAAAUUUUCUACUAUGAUUGUAAAUUUAAAGCUUAUUUUUUUGCUUAUUGAAAAGUUUUGCUACUCAUAAUUUAGUAUGAUAGUAUAUUUCACCUACGAAGCUAUUUAUUUUAUUCUGAAAAAAAUGACUUGCCAGCGACUAUGAUAUUUCAUUCUAAUUAAACAGCUGAUCACACUUCCCAUUACCUAAAUUUAUAAAUUUCGUAAAUAAAUUAAAGAAUAUACAUCGAACAAGAUAUCCAUGAACCCAAACAGAGCCAUGAUAAUUUACUAGUCAAAACUUAGCUCUGAAUAUUUUUGUUUAGUUUGGUGGGGGAAACUCCAUAUGUGCACUAAUUCAUUGGUCAAAACAUAAUAAAUAGGUUAAUGAGAAGUUACUAUUAAUCAUGGCAAAUGUUUAAAAAAUCAAUAUCCAGCUUUUGUUCAAAAUGUAAUUAAUUAAUGCAAAACUACACCUACUACUUCUUAAUUUGGUUAAAUCGAUCGACUACUUUAAUGCAAAACUACACCUACUAUUACAUCAUCAUAUUUCAGUUUUACUACUGAUUAUUUGUAUUAUUCAAUAAUGUUGUUUAGUUACUUAAGCAGAAAAAGGUAUACAAUUUGUUCAGGUUUAGUAAUUGCUUUUUAUCUUUCAUAGAUUACCAUUUUUCUCUGCUACACUGUUAACAGGCCAACAAACAAAAUGAACAGCAACUACAUGCAGCUGCUACAAAGAACAAUGGCUCAGAAGAUAGCUACAUUACUACUGGAAGCCCCCUCUUCAGAUCAGGAUCAUUCGGCACCGAGUCCGUGGAGGAGAAGGCGGCGAAACACGGCGAUUGUUCGCUCUCGCUGUCCUUGUCGUUAGAUCCGAGGAGCACGAGCAACGCAUCCCCGGCCAGCGAAAGCAGCGGCGUCUUCUUUUCGUCGUCACGAAGGAGCUUCAGCAAAUGCUCGGAUUACAAUUCCGGUGGCGGUCGAAGAAUCAACUUGGAUCUUUCCAUGUCCAUUUGUGGUUCUUAGGUUUAAUUUUGCAUCUCUAGAUAACUAAUUGGCUUCUUGUGUUUAAUUUUGUGAAUCAUCUUUUUUUUUCACUCUCUUUUCUGUUGUCGUCGUUUGAUUCGAUCUUAACAUCUUAGCCUAGUACUGUGAAUUACACUACACGCUUUAAUAGAAUAUUAGUUAGAAUCUUAAUUUGAACAGCCAGUAGUCGCAUCUCACGAAAUAGUCACGUUACUAGCGGGUGAACCCUCACCCUUAAAUGGGUGGAGGGUACAUCCUAUACCCCAAUGGAGUG